UACGUAGGGGGCAAGCGUUGUCCGGAAUCAUUGGGCGUAAAGCGCGCGUAGGCGGCCAUACAAGUCCGGUGUGAAAGCCCCAGGCUCAACCUGGGAAUGCCGCUGGAAACUGUCUGGCUAGAGUCCGGAAGGGGCGAGUGGAAUUCCUGGUGUAGCGGUGAAAUGCGCAGAUAUCAGGAGGAACACCUGUGGCGAAGGCAGCUCGCUGGGACGGUACUGACGCUGAGGCGCGAAAGCGUGGGGAGCGAACAGG
RNAcentral lists this ribosomal RNA (253 nucleotides) under uncultured bacterium. RNAcentral describes it as "partial 16S ribosomal RNA". It matches the Rfam family "Bacterial small subunit ribosomal RNA", at positions 524 to 776 of the family's 1533-position model. The record is from RNAcentral.